AUUGAACGCUAGCGGGAUGCCUUACACAUGCAAGUCGAACGGAGUGGCGAACGGGUGAGUAAUGUAUCGGAACGUGCCCAGUAGCGGGGGAUAACUACGAGAAAGCGUAGCUAAUACCGCAUACUAUUGGUUCGGCCGAUAUCGGAUUAGCUAGUAGGGGGGGGAACGACUCACCAUGGCGACGACCCGUAGCUGGGUUGAGAGGACGACCAGCCACACUGGGACUGAGACACGGCCCAUACUCCUACGGGGGGCAGCAGUGGAGAAUUUUGGGCAAUGGGGGAAACCCUGAUCCAGCCAUCCCGCGUGUGCGAUGAAGGCCUUCGGGUUGUAAAGCACUUUUGGCAGGAAAGCGGUACCUGCAGAAUAAGCACCGGCUAACUACGUGCCAGCAGCCGCGGUAAUUC
RNAcentral lists this ribosomal RNA (407 nucleotides) under uncultured bacterium. RNAcentral describes it as "partial 16S ribosomal RNA". It matches the Rfam family "Bacterial small subunit ribosomal RNA", at positions 30 to 526 of the family's 1533-position model. The record is from RNAcentral.